This 1515-nucleotide long non-coding RNA is filed under the name Androctonus crassicauda. The record is from RNAcentral. Lineage: Eukaryota; Metazoa; Arthropoda; Arachnida; Scorpiones; Buthidae.
CAAUUUCAGUCGCAAUAGUUUAACUUUAAAGGCUGGAGAAAAAAAAUGCUGUGGUGUAUCUGCUUUAUUUGUGCCAAUUAAAACCUGUGACGAAUAUAUGCGUAUUAAUGUUAUCUUAUAGAUAAAUAAUGCCGAGAACUUAAUGCUAUUCUCAUUUAAACUCCACGUUUGGCAGAGUUUACGAAUCGCAAUCAGGAUGUUCUCAUAAUAACGUAGCUACGUUUAUGCAAAUCAAACACUGCUAUGAAUCCCCAAGUGACCAUCUUUGUCGGCAAUUAAAACCGACACAAUGCAGUAGAUCUACGGAAUAGUUCGCGUUGGGAUUCAUAGAUUACUGAUUUGGGAUGUUAUUGUGAUGCCAGAUUAUCUCUACAUUGACAUCCUGUCGAGUUGACAUGUCAGUAAUUUAAUUAAUCUCCAAGACUACGAACAGACGGAGAAUGUUGUCAUGUUGUCUAAUAUGGUACCUUUAUUAACUAAUAAAGAAUUAUCCGUUCGCAUCGCGGCUCUUUCUCUUUAUAUAUAUAGGUCUUAUAUAUGCACACGUUAUAUAGUAGAAAACUAAUGGAGGAUAUAAAACGCCUCUAGAUGCAAAACAAGUUCCGAUAAUAGAAUAUGAAAAAAAAGAAAACUUUAAAAGGAAAACAGAUUUAAUAAAAGCCACAAACAGCAAAUUAAUCCUAUUUUCGGUCGAUAAUCGUCGCCGUUCCAUUUACGAAUAACAUGGUGAAUUUCGAAGUAAUCUGGUACAUCGAUUUUCGCGAAAAAUAAAAAUCUAUACGCUAAAGUUCAGCUGAUGUCUCUCACUGCAUCCGAUGUUUUUCCUCCCAAGGGAUGGUAAGAAGUGACUCUUCUUAAGCAACGUUCACAUUCUUGUAGAGACAACUUUUAUUUACCGUAUCCGACAAAUCUAAUGUAAAAUUGUUGGGAUACAGUCUUUCCACUUUGCGUGUCCGGCAAAUGGUAGAUCUAAUUGUCGUCUUGUUUUGAUGUCCCGAAGGGUCAUUAAGUCUUUUCUCGUUUCAAAUAUAGUUGGACGUGCCAGGAUUACAAGAUUUCCGUUAGUCGUUUUGCUUGCACGUCUCACUCAGGUGUUUUCAGUGCGAAAGGGGAGUGGAUUUCGGAAGUAUUUCCCCCUCUCAAUCCCCGUUGCAGAUCGGCUAAGGGUGCUUAGUCGAAUCCACGACACGUUUUUGCUUUCAAGCUAGCGACAACCAUUGCCGUAGUAGCCAAGCCAUGAGUUGAUCGUGAAUUCCUUUCCUACUGUCUGAUCUGUCGGGAUUGCAUUGCAUUCAGUAUGCAAUUAGCCUGCACUCCGGGGUGUUGUUUUUUUAUACCUUGUUUCUGCAGUCUGACAGCCACCGAAUCCAAUAUCGUCAUUUCUGAUAAACUCUUCGCCUUAUAGGGUGCAUUGUAGAGAGCGCAUUCCUUUGUACAGGAUAAAUAAAUUAUAUCUUACCUAUGAAAAAUAUAUGUAUUUUCCUAUUUAUUAUAAUUUGAAACGCAAAAAGUGAU